Molecule: microRNA, 21 nt
Filed under: Triticum aestivum (bread wheat)
Lineage: Eukaryota; Viridiplantae; Streptophyta; Magnoliopsida; Poales; Poaceae
Description: tae-miR9657b-3p
Source: miRBase by way of RNAcentral
CGUGCUUCCUCGUCGAACGGU